This 333-nucleotide ribosomal RNA is filed under the name Triticum aestivum (bread wheat). RNAcentral's name for it is "partial small subunit ribosomal RNA". Lineage: Eukaryota; Viridiplantae; Streptophyta; Magnoliopsida; Poales; Poaceae. The record is from RNAcentral.
AUGAGUUGCCUUGCAUGCAUGCAUAUACGGGGGAGUGCAGCUCCCCGCCGGCCCCGGACGGCUUGGCUGGGUAUCCGUCGCUUCUCGGGGUUUUUAUUGCUUGUAAUAAUGACUUUAUGUAAAGCUCCUUUGCUCUCUCUAUCUGCUUAUUAUCACGAGUUACUAUUAUCUUCGGGAUAUCGAGUUCCUCGAAAGCACCAGCGAUGUUGUUUGUUUGCGUAUGGUGUGGUAGCUGCCAAGGGCGCGCGCAUGCAAGCGGGAGGUUGUAGACGCUGUUUGCCUUUGACCACCAGGAAUGCCCAAGGAGCCACUGGCAUAUGCUCUUUGGUUUGA